GCCUGGUUAGCUCAAAUGGUAGAGCGGCUGCCUCAGAAUAGUGGUAGUCCCGGGUUCGAGCCCCGGACCAGGACG
Dermacentor andersoni is the source of this 75-nucleotide non-coding RNA. NCBI's taxonomy places the organism in Eukaryota, Metazoa, Arthropoda, Arachnida, Ixodida, Ixodidae. The record is from the annotation of a RefSeq genome assembly.